GGCCUCAAAUCAGACAAGAGUACCCGCUGAACUUAAGCAUAUCAAUAAGCGGAGGAAAAGAAACUAACAAGGAUUCCCCUAGUAACGGCGAGUGAAGCGGGAACAGCUCAAAUUUUAAAUCUGGCUGCUUUGUAGUCCGAGUUGUAAUUUGAAGGAGCCUUGCUGCUGGCAAAACGAUGGCACAAGUCCUCUGGAACGGGGCAUCGUAGAGGGUGAGAAUCCCGUCUCUGGUCAUCACGCGCUGGCAUACGGCAGGCAUCCGAAGAGUCGAGUUGUUUGGGAUUGCAGCUCCAAAUGGGUGGUAAACUCCAUCUAAGGCUAAAUAUUGGCGAGAGACCGAUAGCGAACAAGUACCGUGAGGGAAAGAUGAAAAGAACUUUGAAAAGAGAGUAAAACAGUACGUGAAAUUGUUGAAAGGGAAACGAUUGAAG
This 431-nucleotide ribosomal RNA is filed under the name uncultured Paraglomus. RNAcentral describes it as "eukaryotic LSU rRNA". It matches the Rfam family "Eukaryotic large subunit ribosomal RNA", at positions 1 to 428 of the family's 3401-position model. The record is from RNAcentral. Lineage: Eukaryota; Fungi; Glomeromycota; Glomeromycetes; Paraglomerales; Paraglomeraceae.